This 465-nucleotide ribosomal RNA is filed under the name Vreelandella stevensii. RNAcentral describes it as "partial 16S ribosomal RNA". It matches the Rfam family "Bacterial small subunit ribosomal RNA", at positions 338 to 795 of the family's 1533-position model. Lineage: Bacteria; Pseudomonadati; Pseudomonadota; Gammaproteobacteria; Oceanospirillales; Halomonadaceae. The record is from RNAcentral.
CCUACGGGAGGCUGCAGUGGGGAAUAUUGGACAAUGGGGGGAACCCUGAUCCAGCCAUGCCGCGUGUGUGAAGAAGGCCCUCGGGUUGUAAAGCACUUUCAGUGAGGAAGAACGCCUGGUGGUUAAUACCCAUCAGGAAAGACAUCACUCACAGAAGAAGCACCGGCUAACUCCGUGCCAGCAGCCGCGGUAAUACGGAGGGUGCGAGCGUUAAUCGGAAUUACUGGGCGUAAAGCGCGCGUAGGUGGCUUGAUAAGCCGGUUGUGAAAGCCCCGGGCUCAACCUGGGAACGGCAUCCGGAACUGUCGAGCUAGAGUGCAGGAGAGGAAGGUAGAAUUCCCGGUGUAGCGGUGAAAUGCGUAGAGAUCGGGAGGAAUACCAGUGGCGAAGGCGGCCUUCUGGACUGACACUGACGCUGAGGUGCGAAAGCGUGGGUAGCAAACAGGAUUAGAUACCCCUGUAGUC